CGAGGGGAGUGAAAAAGAACCUGAAACCGUGUACGUACAAGCAGUGGGAGCCCCACCACCAAAGCAUUUGCUGUACCGCGUUGACGGAGCGAAGCGACGUCAAACCGAUAAAACAGCAGUGUAAAGUGAGCCGCAGGGCGCUUUGCGCGACAGCGCAAAGGCAGGCGGUUUCGCGUAGCGAAAGCGAAUGCUUUGGGGUGGGGUGACUGCGUACCUUUUGUAUAAUGGGUCAGCGACUUAUAUUCUGUAGCAAGGUUAACCGAAUAGGGGAGCCGGAGGGAAACCGAGUCUUAAUUGGGCGUUAAGUUGCAGGGUAUAGACCCGAAACCCGGUGAUCUAGCCAUGGGCAGGUUGAAGGUUGGGUAACACUAACUGGAGGACCGAACCGACUAAUGUUGAAAAAUUAGCGGAUGACCUGUGGCUGGGGGUGAAAGGCCAAUCAAACCGGGAGAUAGCUGGUUCUCCCCGAAAGCUAUUUAGGUAGCGCCUCGUGAAUUCAUCUCCGGGGGUAGAGCACUGUUUCGGCUAGGGGGCCAUCCCGGCUUACCAACCCGAUGCAAACUGCGAAUACCGGAGAAUGUUAUCACGGGAGACACACGGCGGGUGCUAACGUCCGUCGUGAAGAGGGAAACAACCCAGACCGCCAGCUAAGGUCCCAAAGUCAUGGUUAAGUGGGAAACGAUGUGGGAAGGCCCAGACAGCCAGGAUGUUGGCUUAGAAGCAGCCAUCAUUUAAAGAAAGCGUAAUAGCUCACUGGUCGAGUCGGCCUGCGCGGAAGAUGUAACGGGGCUAAACCAUGCACCGAAGCUGCGGCAGCGACACUGUGUGUUGUUGGGUAGGGGAGCGUUCUGUAAGCCUGCGAAGGUGGCCUGUGAGGGUUGCUGGAGGUAUCAGAAGUGCGAAUGCUGACAUAAGUAACGAUAAAGCGGGUGAAAAGCCCGCUCGCCGGAAGACCAAGGGUUCCUGUCCAACGUUAAUCGGGGCAGGGUGAGUCGACCCCUAAGGCGAGGCCGAAAGGCGUAGUCGAUGGGAAACGGGUUAAUAUUCCCGUACUUGGUGUUACUGCGAAGGGGGGACGGAGAAGGCUAUGUUGGCCGGGCGACGGUUGUCCCGGUUUAAGCGUGUAGGUGUGUGUUCCAGGUAAAUCCGGUUCACUUUAACACUGAGGCGUGACGACGAGGCACUACGGUGCUGAAGCAACAAAUGCCCUGCUUCCAGGAAAAGCCUCUAAGCAUCAGGUAACAUCAAAUCGUACCCCAAACCGACACAGGUGGUCAGGUAGAGAAUACCAAGGCGCUUGAGAGAACUCGGGUGAAGGAACUAGGCAAAAUGGUGCCGUAACUUCGGGAGAAGGCACGCUGACACGUAGGUGAAGUGAUUUACUCAUGGAGCUGAAGUCAGUCGAAGAUACCAGCUGGCUGCAACUGUUUAUUAAAAACACAGCACUGUGCAAACACGAAAGUGGACGUAUACGGUGUGACGCCUGCCCGGUGCCGGAAGGUUAAUUGAUGGGGUCAGCGCAAGCGAAGCUCCUGAUCGAAGCCCCGGUAAACGGCGGCCGUAACUAUAACGGUCCUAAGGUAGCGAAAUUCCUUGUCGGGUAAGUUCCGACCUGCACGAAUGGCGUAAUGAUGGCCAGGCUGUCUCCACCCGAGACUCAGUGAAAUUGAACUCGCUGUGAAGAUGCAGUGUACCCGCGGCAAGACGGAAAGACCCCGUGAACCUUUACUAUAGCUUGACACUGAACAUUGAGCCUUGAUGUGUAGGAUAGGUGGGAGGCUUUGAAGUGUGGACGCCAGUCUGCAUGGAGCCGACCUUGAAAUACCACCCUUUAAUGUUUGAUGUUCUAACGUGGACCCGUUACCCGGGUUGCGGACAGUGUCUGGUGGGUAGUUUGACUGGGGCGGUCUCCUCCUAAAGAGUAACGGAGGAGCACGAAGGUUGGCUAAUCCUGGUCGGACAUCAGGAGGUUAGUGCAAUGGCAUAAGCCAGCUUGACUGCGAGCGUGACGGCGCGAGCAGGUGCGAAAGCAGGUCAUAGUGAUCCGGUGGUUCUGAAUGGAAGGGCCAUCGCUCAACGGAUAAAAGGUACUCCGGGGAUAACAGGCUGAUACCGCCCAAGAGUUCAUAUCGACGGCGGUGUUUGGCACCUCGAUGUCGGCUCAUCACAUCCUGGGGCUGAAGUAGGUCCCAAGGGUAUGGCUGUUCGCCAUUUAAAGUGGUACGCGAGCUGGGUUUAGAACGUCGUGAGACAGUUCGGUCCCUAUCUGCCGUGGGCGCUGGAGAACUGAGGGGGGCUGCUCCUAGUACGAGAGGACCGGAGUGGACGCAUCACUGGUGUUCGGGUUGUCAUGCCAAUGGCACUGCCCGGUAGCUAAAUGCGGAAGAGAUAAGUGCUGAAAGCAUCUAAGCACGAAACUUGCCCCGAG
This 2428-nucleotide ribosomal RNA is filed under the name Salmonella enterica. RNAcentral describes it as "partial 23S ribosomal RNA". It matches the Rfam family "Bacterial large subunit ribosomal RNA", at positions 530 to 2803 of the family's 2925-position model. The record is from RNAcentral. RNAcentral also lists the same sequence under 1 other name. Lineage: Bacteria; Pseudomonadati; Pseudomonadota; Gammaproteobacteria; Enterobacterales; Enterobacteriaceae.